CAUCAGUGGAACGUGUCUCCUGCCCUUCUUCCAAAAUAAAUCACUUGGGGAAUCCUACCAUAUAAGCCGAAAUAGGGUUGCUUUGGUUGACAGAUGGGGGACACAGAACCCCAGCUAGACGGUUCCCUCUCCAUCCCUAUAGCAGCCUUUGCCUUGAGACAGGAAGACUCCAGCUCAGUGGAGCAUGGGGUGAAGAACCAACCUCAGCCUUCCACCCAGCACUGGAGAUCUCCUCAUGGCUUCCUUUCUCCCACCUCUGACCACUCGCUUCCAGAGAGAAGUCUCCCAGGAAGCCAGACCCAACGCCCAGCAGUACCCAGCACCAGAAUACACUUCCUACAUGAUACCCAAAUUCACUUCCCUGUCACUUUCACCCCGAAGUCUCAGUUCUGCCUGGGGGGGGAUGCAAGGAAAAGGCCAAGUUCCUCUUUCCCAUGAUUUACAGCGCGUGUCUCCCCUGGAGUCUCUCAUCCAGAUGAAACAGGCACUUAAAUCUACGACAAGUGGGUGAACGCAGGAAAAAAUGCAGCAACAAUCAAACGAGGGGGUGGGAGAGAGGUGGAAACGGGAGGAAGAGAAGGAAGAGCCUCCCCAGUCCCUCGGGGACCUCCUCUAGCUUGAAAACAGUUCCUCUUAAAAAGUAAGCUUGGGGAGCUGAACAAAAUAUUCCAGAAAGACCUUAAGCCAGUGUUUUUCAGACUACAGGUGGUGACCCCUGUCAGUGGUAAACAGCCUCUCAGUGGUUCUAAACCAUCGUUUCGCUUAAUGAAAGAACAGAAUAGAGCAGAGAAUGUCGUUGUUCAUCAACCAGCCUCGGGGUCAGGGGUGGUUUGGAAACAUCUUUUCCGGGUAUGUAUAUACGUGCGUGUGUGUCUGUGUGUCUGUGUGUGUGUGGUGUGCCGGAAUGUGGAAACGGGUCUUGAUGUAGAAUGUUUCUUACUGUGGGUCACAAGUCAGAGGGAAAAAAGCCAGUGUUCCAACACUAUGAAAGAGGCACCACAAUCAUCCCCAUUCUCAGAUGAAAAUAAUGAGACAGAUCAAUUAUUAACUUGCCUAAGGUCACCCAACUAGUAAACGCCAGGGCUGAGACUGGAACGGGAUGGGAGAGGCGGGUGGGAGGCAGUCUGACUCCACAGCAUGAACUUGAACCCCUCCCCUCAGGGCCUCCAGAAUACGAAACAGCCACUCCGUGCAGGCAGGGGGAGGGUGCUGCGGGACCAGUCUUGGGACCAGGAGGCACCUUGCAGGCUCUCCUCUCACCCAUUAGACUCACAUUCCCUUCCUUCACUCAGGGCACACCCACACCGACCCCAGUGAGCUUUUGUGGAAGGACCAUACUGCCAACGCUCUGGGUCAUCAAAGAGGCAGAGUCCCAUCUACCAGAAUUAACGUAUUCCUUUCACCCUGGGCAGAGGGCUUCAACCAGCCGCGUGAAGGCUGAGUGAAGAUUCAGUCUGUAUUUUUCCACUAACCCACAAAGAUAUGUGUGAAAGAUGUUUCAAAACCUCAUCGACAGCAAAAUCCACCUCAGUGCGGUGGUACCAGACGUGGCCAUCAGCCUCUCCUUAAUCCAUGUCACGUGUUUAAUAGAUUCUUGAUGCUUUAGUCCCACAGACAAACUCUAAAAACUUUCUAGAUCCCGAGAGCUUUAUUGGACAAAUAUUAUCACUGUCUCGCAAAGGUCUGUUACAAGCAUUCAUCACCUCCACAUACUUCAUCCUUCUCACUUGUGUGCCCCAAGGCUCUUCCGCCAUUACCGACCACAAGACAAAUUUUGGUAGCACUUGAGUCUACUCUGCUAUAAAAGGAAGCCUGUAAUUUUGAUAUGUAAGGCCCUGGGGUGUGGGAGAUCCCAGACCCUGGCCAGUGAGCUCUGUCCUUUCUUCCGCAGUGUGGUUCUCAGAGCACCAAAGUCUUAUUUUUAAAUUCUGAUUCUGGGAGUUCCUGUUGUGGCUCAGUGUGUUAAGAGCCCGACUCGUAUUCAUAAGCAUGUAGGCUCGAUCCCCGGCCUUGCUCAUUGGGUUAAGGAGCUGGCGUUGCUGUGAGCUGUGGGUAGGUCGCAGACAUAGCUCGGAUCCCAUGGUACUGUGGCUGUGGUGUAGACCGGCAGCUGUAGCUCCGAUUCGACCCCUAGCCUGGGAACUUCCCUAUGCCACAGCUCAAUGUACCAUAUUUUUCCCAUGCUCAAAUUGAGGCAGUGUUUUUUUUUAUUAUUCCUUCCUGGAAACUCACCUCCCCAGAAGGGCCCCUGGAAUGACCCAUCUCUGCCUGGAGGGGCCUCAAACAAAGCAAAGGAAGUUGAGGGUAGUUAGGUCUUUAACUUAGUAUUAGCCAGGAUUGUUCUGCUUCUCUGGUUUGAAGAGCUUCCUCCUUGAUAAAGAAGGCAGUGUCCUUUGGGUUACAGUCUGUUCUAUAAAAUUCUGUUCUGUUCUAUAAACAUAAACCGUGUACCGUAAUUUUCCUCUCUUGCUCUGCACAGGGUUCAGAAAGUCUCUUCCAUCUUCUUUAGGUCUCAGUGGUUCAGGGAGAUGGGACACGGCUACACCUAGGAAGGGUUCAUCCUUUCCGGGAUCCAACCCAAACCCUGGGGCGAGCUUGAGGAACCAGCGCAAGGGAGGAGUCACGGGCAAGGCGGGGGUGCUGGACGAGCAUGGUCUCUUGGGGUGAAGGGCCGUCCCUCAUUAUCAAGGGAGUCACACAUCUGCAUCAAGGCAAGCUCAACGCUCAGGAUGCCUGGGAGGAUUGAACGAGAUCAUGUUUGUAAACCCUUGGUGUCAGGCACGUAGUCAGGAUUUAACAAGCCGCCAUUAGCCCUGUCAUCAUUACUUUUGCUGUCAUCCAAAAGAGCUCUGGUAGUCCUCGGCUCUCCAACAAGCCUUCAGGGCCUACCAUGACUCUGCUGACCCCAGAAGCUCCUUCAGCAGCUGCCUCUUCCAGCACAUAAACACCCCAAGCCAGAGCAGGCUGAAUUCACUGAGGCUCCGGCUCUGCAGUUACCUAAUGAGUCAGGCUUCUCAGAAUCUCCAUCCCUGAAGACUGGGGCAGUGAUCCCGCCCAGUCACACUUGCACUGGAGGGAGAGGACCAGGUUAGGAGGACAAUGGGCUGGGGUCCAUCCCAACCUCACCUCCUCUAUGUACUGAGCCUCUGUUGGCUCCUGCCUCAUUGGGUUGUUGUGAAUGUAAUUAUGGGAAGGUGCCUAGCGCAGAACCUGAUACCAUGUAGAGACAGAAGAAAGUUCACCAAAUUUCAGCCCAGACGUCUGAGUGCCUGGCAUCUUUCUGGGAAUUAUAGGAGGCAGGUAUUGUGGGGAAAUGAGGAGCCAGGGAGAGAAAGAGUGUCUUGGAAAUAGACACGUCUCCUCAAUUGCUCAUUGGCAGGUCCUGGCAGAGAAUCUGCCCCUGAGGGAUUUUGGCUGGGUCUGUGGUGUGGAAGAGAAAGAAAGGAAUCAGAUGAUAAAGAUGAGGCCUCUUCAUGAAGCACAGAACCCAAAGCUCCACGACUCAUCAAUGAAGAAGCUGGGGUUGGAACCCAAGUAUGUCUGACCCCAUAGCCUACACUGUUUCAACUUCCAGAAGCUGCAGAGGAAAGGCAUGGCCUCCCAAUAGGGCCUGAGAACAAGUCUCUCACUCUCCAGAUCCACCAAAUGGACGCCAAAAGCCCAGGUUACCUGGUGUGAUCCCAGACCCCGAAAGUUUGCUCAGACUGCUGUCAGGCCAUGAUGCAAAACAAAGUCCAGCCAACACGCUGGGAAGUUCCCAAGUAAGGACUGCCCAUUAGGAGAGUCUCACAUUGGCCAGAAAUGGCCAGUUCCUAGCACCCAUGUGCUUCUCAUCAGCUGGGAGCUGCCCGGAGAGCAUGACCUCGGCCUGAAGGUUCUGCAGCCAGAAGCUGUCACCUACGGCUCCCCUCACAGUUGAGUAGUAAGUUCUUCACUGAAGAGAGGUCCAAGCAGUGCGACCACUCCAUGGCUCCCACAGUCCACCUAUUCCCUGUACGGAUACACAUCUCCAAGCUCCUGGCCGACAUCUCUCCCGUCUUGGAAGAGGGAGGAUGAUGGGACAAACUCCAGCUCCCAUCACUGCAGCCACUCUUAGAACUUCAACUGGGAACUCAUCGUCUCCUUCCUCAACUACCGGUUCUCAACCCCCGCCCCUCCCCUGAGCUGUCACCUUGUCAGGUCAGAUUAUGGGACCCAAGCCUUCAAUCCUCACCCCAAGGCCUGCAUUGCGAUUCUCCUUCUGGGGCGUUCCACCAGACUCACACCACAUGGUUUUCUAAACUGGCAUCUCCAACCCCAAGAUCUGCUGCUGUGGACAGCCCAUGAGGGAGGCAUCCUCGUAUUGCAGCCUGUUCUUGCUGCAGAGUCCUUUCCAGCCCUGGGCCCUGCUCAAAGCUGGGAGCCUUUCACGUCGUCAUAUGGACUGGAACAGUAUCCCUAGAUAGGGAAUGUGUGCCUUCAGAACCCAAAAAAGUCCAGCUAGCAUUUUGCUUUAUGGUGGCAGAAAGCAAAAUGCAGCGAUUUGUGGAUCUUUGCAAGGCACUUUCUAGAGCACACACUAGAAAGCUUCCUAUCAAAGCCUCAGUUUGCUAGUCACCUCUUGCUCAUCCUCUUGGUUAGUAUAACGUCCUCAAGGUCACAGUCAGUGCGACGUUCUGCAGGAUGUCUGGGGGGUCUACAACUCCUUGGCUCAUGUUGUGACAAAGAGCAAGAGAUUUAACAAGGCCCUGGAACAAAACUACAAAGGUACACUCUUGUUCAUCCCAUGUGAGUAGGAGCUGUUCCUGACCUUCACAUUUGCCAAGUCAACGGCAGCAUAUCCUGCACCUGAAGCCAUAUACGUCUGCUCUGGCAAAGACCCUAGGUCUCCAGGGCAGCUGCAUUUGGGGCUUCUAUUUGGUAGAACUUUCAGGUGUCUGUCAUCACACUCUAGAAUUCAUCUGGUUUCUGCAAGGACCAGACUGAUAAACUAAACAAAAAUAUGAUAGGACCACCGCUCCCAUAUCCUGGGGUCCUUAAUGACAGCGUCAAUAUCUGCCGCCUCCCCAUGAUACAGCAUUGGUUUUGAUGUACUGUCUUGGUUGGGGUGGAGUAUGGAGAACAGAGAGUGGAGAGGGAAGAAGAGAAAGGAGAACAGCUUCAGAGACUUCCAUUUGGCCUUCUCCACUAUGCUAACUUUCCCUCCAUAGGUCAUGACCCAAUGUAAGGAUUAUUCCAUCUGCCAAGUAUGUCAACCCCAACUAUACAUUCAGAGAUCAGAUAAAUGCGUGCUUGGGACACUCACAUCCCCCGUGGGUCUACUAUAGGCUGGACUCUGGGCAGGACUCCAUUGGUACUUGUCUCUCGUAUGUAGGUCCAUAAUGACGUGUCAGGUUUCUGGGUAUCAGUGUCACCUCAGACCCUGGGUCUAAUUGUCCUAGAAAUAUCUGGUUAUUCACAUCCCCCACAUAAACAGGCUCUGGGUAAAUGGCCAACAGCCCCUUUGUGGAAGGACUGGAAAAAUCCCCAA
RNAcentral lists this long non-coding RNA (5509 nucleotides) under Sus scrofa (pig). Its description in RNAcentral is "lncRNA (ENSSSCG00065005192.1)". Lineage: Eukaryota; Metazoa; Chordata; Mammalia; Artiodactyla; Suidae. The record is from RNAcentral.